RNAcentral lists this ribosomal RNA (373 nucleotides) under uncultured organism. RNAcentral's name for it is "bacterial SSU rRNA". It matches the Rfam family "Bacterial small subunit ribosomal RNA", at positions 526 to 896 of the family's 1533-position model. The record is from RNAcentral.
CAGAGGGUGCGAGCGUUGUUCGGAAUUACUGGGCGUAAAGCGCGCGCAGGCGGGUCCUGUAAGUCGGAAGUGAAAUUUCGGAGCUCAACUCCGAAGCUGCUUCUGAUACUGCGGAUCUAGGGACUGGUAGAGGCUGGUAGAAUUACAGGUGUAGCGGUGGAAUGCGUAGAUAUCUGUAAGAAUACCCGUGGCGAAGGCGGCCAGCUGGGCCAGGUCCGACGCUGAGGCGCGAAAGCGUGGGGAGCAAACAGGAUUAGAUACCCUGGUAGUCCACGCCGUAAACGAUGGGCACUAGGUGCCGGGGGGAGCGACCCCUUCGGUGCCGCAGCUAACGCGAUAAGUGCCCCGCCUGGGGAGUACGGCCGCAAGGCUG